UCAGGGCCCAAAGUCACUUCCAGGGUCUGAGUAGCCCCCUGGGUCCCACACACCGACCCCAGGGAGCCCACCUCCCCACUGACUCCAGUCCCUGCCUUUGUGUGGCAGGUUCUGGUCUGACACCUGUGAAGACCGUGACCUGGAGGCCUCAGCCUGAGACUCAGGGGGGAUGGAGCUUGUGCAGUGUCUGGCAGCUUAAAUGAGACACGAGGCCAAGGAAGGAGGGCCGCCUCUCUGCUCCGCCUCCGCUCCUGAGUCAGCUAGAUCAUGACUCGGGUACCAAGAAGAAAAGGAAGAUUAUAAAGGAAUCAAACACAGGAUGCACAAGAAUAUCAUCUGUGAUCAAGAUAAUCUGCUGGCCAUCCGCAGCGGUGGUUCAGGCACAUCAGAAUCAGCAUCUGGCCAAACAACAGGGUGGGGACCCAAAUAGCACCCCCACUGACCACUCCAUUGAAGGUACUGUGGAACUAA
This is a non-coding RNA of Delphinapterus leucas (beluga whale), 471 nucleotides long. The record is from RefSeq and is a predicted model, not a curated record. NCBI's taxonomy places the organism in Eukaryota, Metazoa, Chordata, Mammalia, Artiodactyla, Monodontidae.